RNAcentral lists this ribosomal RNA (511 nucleotides) under Microbulbifer epialgicus. RNAcentral describes it as "bacterial SSU rRNA". It matches the Rfam family "Bacterial small subunit ribosomal RNA", at positions 96 to 604 of the family's 1533-position model. Lineage: Bacteria; Pseudomonadati; Pseudomonadota; Gammaproteobacteria; Cellvibrionales; Microbulbiferaceae. The record is from RNAcentral.
CGGCGGACGGGUGAGUAACGCGUGGGAAAUUGCCCUCUACUGGGGGACAACAUUCGGAAACGGAUGCUAAUACCGCAUACCCCCUACGGGGGAAAGCAGGGGAUCUUCGGACCUUGCGCUACUGGAUAUGCCCGCGUCGGAUUAGCUAGUUGGUGAGGUAAUGGCUCACCAAGGCGACGAUCCGAACCUGGUCUGAGAGGAUGAUCUGCCACACUGGGACUGAGACACGGCCCAGACUCCUCUCCUAGGCAGCAGUGGGGAAUAUUGGACAAUGGGCGCAAGCCUGAUCCAGCCAUGCCGCGUGUGUGAAGAAGGCCCUACGGUUGUAAAGCACUUUCAGCAGGGAGGAAGGCCUUAAAGUUAAUACCUUUGAGGAUUGACGUUACCUGCAGAAGAAGCACCGGCUAACUCCGUGCCGCAGCCGCGGUAAUACGGAGGGUGCAAGCGUUAAUCGGAAUUACUGGGCGUAAAGCGCGCGUAGGCGGUUAGUUAAGCUGGAUGUGAAAGCCCU